AGAGCGAACGCUGGCGGCAGGCCUAACACAUGCAAGUCGAGCGCCCGUAGCAAUACGGGAGCGGCAGACGGGAUAGUAACACGUGAGAACGCGCCCUUCGGUUCGGAAUAACUCAGGGAAACUUGAGCUAAUACCGGAUACGCCCUUACGGGGAAAGAUUUAUUGCCGAAGGAACGGCCCGCGUCCGAUUAGCUAGUUGGUGAGGUAAUGGCUCACCAAGGCGACGAUCGGUAGCU
RNAcentral lists this ribosomal RNA (236 nucleotides) under uncultured bacterium. RNAcentral describes it as "partial small subunit ribosomal RNA". It matches the Rfam family "Bacterial small subunit ribosomal RNA", at positions 26 to 288 of the family's 1533-position model. The record is from RNAcentral.